GCUGAGACAUGCAGAGAAUUUUUAUUUAUCACAUUUGUUAAUACUUAAGUUUUACUUGUAGAACAGAGUCACAGAUAGAAGAGCAGGCCUAAUACUUAAGUUUUACUUGUAGAACAGAGUCACAGAUAGAAGAGCAGGCCUAAUACUUAAGUUUUACUUGUAGAACAGAGUCACAGAUAGAAGAGCAGGCCGUUAGUAGGUAUUAGUAGGAUUCAGUCAGGGAUGUAGCAUAGCAUCUAGGAAGUAUACAGGAGGUGGUUCAAUAGGGAAGUGGGUUCAAUAGAGAAGGGUCAUAGCUCUCAAAUGCCAACUUUUGGUACAGUAAGCUGUCAAUCACUGUUUAUGUAGAUGCUUUGGGUGGUUGAUACACUACAUAUUUGUCAAUUAGGGGUUAC
This 395-nucleotide long non-coding RNA is filed under the name Bos taurus (domestic cattle). Its description in RNAcentral is "long non-coding RNA NONBTAT005547". The record is from RNAcentral. Lineage: Eukaryota; Metazoa; Chordata; Mammalia; Artiodactyla; Bovidae.